RNAcentral lists this ribosomal RNA (253 nucleotides) under uncultured bacterium. RNAcentral describes it as "partial 16S ribosomal RNA". It matches the Rfam family "Bacterial small subunit ribosomal RNA", at positions 524 to 776 of the family's 1533-position model. The record is from RNAcentral.
UACGGAGGGGGCUAGCGUUGUUCGGAAUUACUGGGCGUAAAGCGCGCGUAGGCGGUCCUGCAAGUCUGGGGUGAAAGCCCGAGGCUCAACCUCGGAACUGCCUUCGAUACUGCGGGUCUCGAGUCCGGGAGAGGUGAGUGGAAUUCCUAGUGUAGAGGUGAAAUUCGUAGAUAUUAGGAAGAACACCAGUGGCGAAGGCGGCUCACUGGCCCGGUACUGACGCUGAGGCGCGAAAGCGUGGGGAGCAAACAGG